This 439-nucleotide ribosomal RNA is filed under the name uncultured bacterium. Its description in RNAcentral is "partial 16S ribosomal RNA". It matches the Rfam family "Bacterial small subunit ribosomal RNA", at positions 339 to 795 of the family's 1533-position model. The record is from RNAcentral.
CUACGGGGCGCUGCAGUGAGGAAUAUUGCACAAUGGGGGGAACCCUGAUGCAGCAACGCCGCGCGGAGGAUGACGCAUUUCGGUGUGUAAACUCCUUUUAUAUGUCAAGAAAAUGACGGUAGCAUAUGAAUAAGCACCGGCUAACUCCGUGCCAGCAGCCGCGGUAAUACGGAGGGUGCAAGCGUUACUCGGAAUCACUGGGCGUAAAGGACGCGUAGGCGGGUUGGAAAGUCAGGUGUGAAAUCCUACAGCUUAACUGUAGAACUGCACUUGAAACUUCUAAUCUAGAGUAUGGGAGAGGGAGAUGGAAUUAGUGGUGUAGGGGUAAAAUCCGUAGAUAUCACUAGGAACACCUAAAGCGAAGGCGAUCUCCUGGAACAUUACUGACGCUAAGGCGUGAAAGCGUGGGGAGCAAACAGGAUUAGAUACCCCGGUAGUC